Molecule: ribosomal RNA, 916 nt
Filed under: uncultured bacterium
Lineage: Bacteria
Description: bacterial SSU rRNA
Rfam family: Bacterial small subunit ribosomal RNA
Source: RNAcentral
AGAGUUUGAUCAUGGCUCAGGACGAACGCUGGCGGCGUGCUUAAUACAUGCAAGUCGAGCGAGGUUACUGUUUCGGAUCCCUUCGGGGUGAAGAAGCUUUAACCUAGCGGCGGACGGGUGAGUAACGCGUGGGUAACCUACCCCAAAGUCCGGGAUAACAGCGGGAAACCGCUGCUAAUACCGGAUGUCUUUACCUUGGGGCAUCUUGAGGUAAAGAAAGGUAACGCUUUGGGAUGGGCCCGCGUCCCAUUAGCUAGUUGGUGAGGUAACGGCUCACCAAGGCGACGAUGGGUAGCCGGCCUGAGAGGGUGGACGGCCACACUGGGACUGAGACACGGCCCAGACUCCUACGGGAGGCAGCAGUAGGGAAUAUUGCGCAAUGGACGGAAGUCUGACGCAGCGACGCCGCGUGAGCGAUGAAGGUCUUCGGAUCGUAAAGCUCUGUCCUUGGGGAAGAAGGCGAAAGCUUGACGGUACCCAAGAAGAAAGCCCCGGCUAACUACGUGCCAGCAGCCGCGGUAAUACGUAGGGGGCGAGCGUUGUCCGGAAUUACUGGGCGUAAAGGGUGCGUAGGCGGCCCUUUAAGUCGGAUGUGAAAGCCCGCGGCUUAACCGCGGAAUGGCAUUCGAAACUGGAGGGCUUGAGUGUCGGAGAGGGUAGUGGAAUUCCCAGUGUAGCGGUGAAAUGCGUAGAUAUUGGGAGGAACACCAGUGGCGAAGGCGACUACCUGGACGAUAACUGACGCUGAGGCACGAAAGCUAGGGGAGCAAACAGGAUUAGAUACCCUGGUAGUCCUAGCCGUAAACGAUGGGUACUAGGUGUGGGUGGUUUCGAUACCAUCCGUGCCGUAGUUAACGCAUUAAGUACCCCGCCUGGGGAGUACGUGCGCAAGCAUGAAACUCAAAUGAAUUGACGG